Molecule: long non-coding RNA, 1022 nt
Organism: Nilaparvata lugens (brown planthopper)
Lineage: Eukaryota; Metazoa; Arthropoda; Insecta; Hemiptera; Delphacidae
Exons: 2
Source: RefSeq, a predicted model, not a curated record
AUUAUCAGUUUGUUUUUCUCAGUGAGACAAAGAUGCACUUAUGGGAUCGAGCUGUACCCUUCGAAUAAUCUACUUUCUUGUUCUCUCCAGUUCUUUUUUGCUAUUUUCUUUCUCCCUUUUUCUGUCCUUGUUGGUAGCUUUGAGUUUGCAUUGCUCUUUCUCUCUAGUUUCUUUGUCUAAUUUUGAUAAUUCCGUUUUUCUUACGUCACUGUCUUGUUUGCUACUCCGUCUUCAACGCUCGAUGAUCCAUUCUGUCUCUGAAUUUCGUGAGUGGAGGUUGUAAAUUUAACUUUUCCUUUGAUUCCAAUUUUAUUUAGCUUAUGCUAAAUUUUUCUAUUAUUACAAUAUGUAGUUGAUCAGAGACAGAUUUCAUUCAUCACAAGUUGUGAUAUUAUUAUUAUUUUCUUUAUUUUUUUUUUAUUUCCUUUUUAAAUAUGUAAAUUUUCUUGUUUGUUUUUAAAAAAAAAAAAAAGAAAAGUAAUCAUGUCCGAAAAUUUAAUUGAGUAUUCAUUCUAGCUGGCCUAAGUUAUGGCAAUUUAUUUAUAUUUGUUGGAAACCUCAUUCAUCACAUAUGUAUCCAUAGUAAUUUCUACAAUUUCCGCUGUACAGCGGUCAUAGACUCGUAGACUCAUAGACUCGUAGACUCGUAGUAUCACAGGAUGUCUUAGUUAUGGCCAUGGAAGCUGAAUCCUUGCUGACCAACUCAUCACAAGGAAACCAAUAUUUCCAGAAAAGAUCUAAAUUCGCCGUAAAAAGGAUACUUCAAGAACUUCUUGUGCAGUGAAAAAUUAAUAAGUGAAAAAUUUGAAUAAAGUGUACGGAGGCCUCCUCACUUCAAUACACCAGGUAUUUACGAAACAACCAUAUUAAUUUAUGGAAAAUUCACAGGCAACUACUUCGCAAAAAUAAAAGGGACAGGAUAAUAAAUAAAUUUGUAAUUACUUGAUUUAAAUUUUGUUUAUUUUUUGGAAAUUCUAUUUAUUUGAUCUAUUAUGUAUAUUAAAUUGCAAACAUGAUUACAA